Molecule: ribosomal RNA, 595 nt
Filed under: uncultured beta proteobacterium
Lineage: Bacteria; Pseudomonadati; Pseudomonadota; Betaproteobacteria
Description: bacterial SSU rRNA
Rfam family: Bacterial small subunit ribosomal RNA
Source: RNAcentral
CCUGGCUCAGAUUGAACGCUGGCGGAAUGCUUUACACAUGCAAGUCGAACGGCAGCACGGGAGCUUGCUCCUGGUGGCGAGUGGCGAACGGGUGAGUAAUAUAUCGGAACGUAUCCAAUAAUGGGGGAUAACUAGUCGAAAGAUUAGCUAAUACCGCAUACGCCCUGAGGGGGAAAGCUGGGGAUCUUCGGACCUAGCGUUAAUGGAGCGGCCGAUAUCUGAUUAGCUAGUAGGUGAGGUAAGAGCUCACCUAGGCGACGAUCAGUAGCUGGUCUGAGAGGACGACCAGCCACACUGGAACUGAGACACGGUCCAGACUCCUACGGGAGGCAGCAGUGGGGAAUUUUGGACAAUGGGCGCAAGCCUGAUCCAGCCAUUCCGCGUGAGUGAAGAAGGCCUUCGGGUUGUAAAGCUCUUUCGCAAGGGAAGAAAACUUAACCUCUAACAUAGGUUGAGGCUGACGGUACCUUGAUAAGAAGCACCGGCUAACUACGUGCCAGCAGCCGCGGUAAUACGUAGGGUGCGAGCGUUAAUCGGAAUUACUGGGCGUAAAGCGUGCGCAGGCGGCCUGAUAAGUCAGAUGUGAAAUCCCCGA